CACAAAUAGCCUCAGACCUUCCGAGGGUGUUCCUUUGAGAUGUUUCAUCACUGACGUCAUAGUGAGUGCCACCUCCCUCAGACUACUUUAGGCCCUGCCCAGAGUCGGGGAGUCCAGACAGCCUGGGAGAGGAACAGGAAUUGGGGCCUGAGUGGGAGAGAACAAGGAGAAGUCUACUCAGCCAGGGCGUGUCCUAGACCCUCUUCAGGUAACCCUGAACAGGAUUUCCUGCUCAGCAGAUGAUGUGUGUUUGUGUGCACAAAUUACUAAUGAGGGAGACAGAGGAGAGCUUCUAUAUCUCAAAAAUAGAUGACGCUCCUUGUACAUGGUAUUUCUUAAGAUGUAAAGUGAAUAUUAUUGAUUCUUGCUUUUCUUUGGUGUGCAUUUUCUUUUUUUCAUAUCGUGGAAGAAAGUUUAUCUUCCAUCUUCUCAAAGUUUCUAAUGAAAGAAAGCCAAUGCCAAGCUUCUUGUACAAUCUAUUCAUAGCCUUUUGGUGUUUGGCUCAUCUAUAUGACAAUCACUUCAGAUCACAAGACAUGAACUUGAUGCUAGGGAAGGUUUAGAGUGAAGUCAAAGCUGUUUGGUGUAUUAACAGCAGAAAAAUAAAACACUGCUGAUCUGAAUUUCUAACUUUGGUCUGUUCUUCUUAAAGGGUGAAAAAAAAGUCUACACCUUACAUUCAGCACAGACAUUGAUUGGAUUGGGUUCCUUGAAAAUUCUCACUUUAAUUCUUUAUGUUUUGUUCAUUUAAAAAUACACAAAACAAUAAAUAUUUAAAGAAGCCAUUGAAGUGCAAUAAAUUGUAAGAGGUGAACCACAGUAGACACAGAAGUGUGAUGGGUAACCUGGUAACCUGUCAAUUCAGAGAAAAUUGAAAAAAAACUUGUGGAGUCCAUAAACAUAUGCAGUUUAAACAAUAAUUAUAAGUUUCAUCAAGAAACACGUUUUUGCCAGCCCCCAAGAAGUCCAAUCCUGAUCACCCCUCUUCUGCUCCUAAAAUGUUAAGAUUGUCUUGUCCCUGCUUUUCUUUAAAGUUUUACCAUGUCUGUAUUCCUAUACUAUAUUUUAAAUUCCCUAUUUCUGAUUUUGUCUAAAUGGAGUCAUAUUCUAUGUUCCCUUUGUAAAUUCUUUUUUUGUUCAACAAUCAUGCUUGUGAGAUCCAUUUAUCCUGUUGUGUGCAACUGUAGUAGUUCCUGUACUUUCUUUACUCUGUAGCAUUCAAAUAUAUGCACCACUGUACUGCUGAUGAACAUGGGAGAUGUAUCCUGUUUGGGUUCUUGUGAACAAUGUAGUGAACAUUCUUGUGUUUGUACCUCAGCACGUGUGUGCUUGAGCAUCUGGGGGUAGAAGGGAAAUUGUUAGAUAUUAGGAAGAAAGCCUUUUACACUUUAAUUUUUAAAAUGUCAAAUUAUUUUCCAUAGUGGUCGAAAAUUCAUACUAACUUUGUUUAGCCAUGGCAGUUAAUUGCAAUAAUAAUUUGUUCUUGUAAUACGUUGGUGGAGUGAUCACAAUUCUGAUAACUAAUUCUAGUCUCCCACUUUUAGCUCUGCUUCCUACUUUCUGAGAGUCAUUACACAAGCAACUUCUCUCUAAAAGUCAAUUUCUCAGCUGUAAUUUUGGCAAAGACAAAAAUCACAAUAAUACUUGCCCUAGUGUACAGGUAACAUGAACAGAGCUGUUGGAACUGCUUUUAAUAGCAUCUUUCUCAUUAUCCAAGUAUAUUCCUGUUGGAUCGCUAUCCAUAAUUCCCUUAUAUAAUAGCUUAAUCUAAUAAGCAGAUUUGAUGGGAAAGUUAUUUUGCUUUCCCUAGAUUGGAUUGUUUUGAUCAUUAUAAAUAGGGUUUCAUAAUUUCUGCUUCUUCCCCCUGCCCACCUUUCUUCUCUCUCUCUCUCUUUGGGGGGGGUAAGGGGAUGAACCCAGGGGUGCUUUACCACUGAGUCACAUCCCAGUCCUAUUUAUUUAUUUUGAGACAAGGUUUUGCCAAGUUGCUGAGGGUUUCCCUAUGUUGCUGAGGCUGGCCUUGAACUUGUGCUCCUCCUUGAACUUGUUAGCCUGCUGCCUCAGCCUCCUGAGUUGCUUGGAUUAUAGGCACACACCAUUAUACCUGGCUGUAUCUCUGCACUUCUUGAGAACUUAAUCCCAAAGUAGGCAUUUGGAUCAGGGUUUGAUUUCAAUUAGUAAGUUCAUAAGGAAGAGUCUGUCUUUGAUUCUCAUUCCUUUGCCUCCAGCCUCCUUGGCUGGAUUCAUUCUCUUCCUGCUCCCCUCUGCUCUUAUGUGCAUUCUUAUAUAUUCUCUGUUAUUUCUUUACCCAUGAAUCUUCUGUUUACUUUCCUUUCCAAGCAAAUCUUUGUAAAGUUUUUCAUUGGCAAAUUACUAUUUCCUUCAUGCUGAAGGUCAAAAGAUGGAUAAAAAUUAAAUAGGAAAUUAAACAUAGAUUCACCAUUAUUGGCCAUUUUAAACCCCAACUCAACAGUCUACUGGUUGAAAUAAUCUGGUUUGAACCUAUAUGUCAUAUUAACAUAAUUUAAAAUUUGAUUAUUCAGCUGAAAUUUACACAGCUAAUAAUUUGGUCUAUUGAUGAUAUAAUAAAUAUUAUUAAUAAUUGAGUCAGGUUAGAUGGUUAAAAAUACCAUUCAGGUCAAAACCUUGCUAACAAACCUCUCUGUCCCUUGCACUCCCAUCCUUAGCAAAUAGAAUGUCCUUUCUGCCUAAACUUUUUCAUUCUGUAGUAGAAUUUGGUCCAAGAUAUCUAAAAUAUAUGUAUCUACAUAAAAUUAUUUAACAUAGAAAUCUUCUAUUUUAUUGGGCUGGAGCUGUAGCUCAGUGGUAAAGUGCUUGCCUUGCAUGUGUGAGGCACUGGGUUUGAUAUUCAGCACCACAUAAAAAUAAAAUAAAAGAUACUGUGUGUCCAUCUACAACUAAAAAAAUUUUUAAAAAGAAAUCUUAUAUUUUAUUUAUAUUGCAAAACAAAAGCCGAUUAUAAUAUAUCACUGAAGCUAAUAAUUUGAUUGACUGCAUUGUGUAUGUUCUUCAAGUUUGAUUUCCUGCAGGUACAAUCUGUACACACUCUGAAGAUACCAUCCCUGCUCUUUGAAAUGUUUACAAUUUAGGCACAUCCUGGGCCUAACUAAAAAUAGCUGGCACAAGCAUUUGUUGAAAUAGGAAUACCCAUUAAGUUAACACUUGCUUCUUGGACUGAGUACCUGUUAUGUGAGGGACUUUUGUUUGACCCCUGUAGGCUUUGUGCCCAGUGUAGGCUUAUACAAAAACCAUGCAGCUGUUGGAACUACUUUGUGCUUUCAUCAGGGUUAGAUAAAGACCUAUAGCAGCCUGAAACCUGAAAGAUUAUGAUAUCCCACAUCUAAAUGUUACCCAAAACAAGAACAAUACUAAAUUGUAACUUUUUUUUUCUGUUUUGAUGCUCCUACUUAGUGAUAUUCAGUUAGCAAAGUGAAUACAUGCAUACACCCGCAGAAAUUGAAGAGAGAAAAAUGUAAUAUUUUAUAUUUUAUUGAAAGCACCAAUACAAUCAUCCAAGAAGAAAAUCAGAACAAAAGUAUUGGUGUUUAUCACAGUGGGCAGAGAAACCAGGCUCUCUGUAUUAGAGUUCUUCAGAGAAACAACUGUAUGUGUGUGUGUGUGUGUGUGUGUGUGUGUGUUUAAGGAAUUGGCUCCUGUGGUUGUGCAAACUGAUAAGUUCAAAAUCUUCAGGAUAGGCUUGCAGGCUGGAGACCUAGAGAAGAGUGAUGGUUCUAGUCAAAGAAUCUGAGGCUACAUGUUAGAAAUCAGACAGUCGGCAGGGUUGGUUUCUUCUGAUACUACUCUUUUUGGCUUGGUGAUGUUCAUUUUCCUGUGUUUUCACAUUGUCUUCCCUCUGUAUGAGUCUGUCCAAAUCCCCUCUUCAUAUAAGGACACCAGUCAUAUUGGAUUAGGGAUUACAUUAAUGACCUUAUUUUAACUCAAUUACCUUUCAAAAGACCCAAAUACAAUCACAUUCUUGGGUACUGGGGGUUAGGAUCUCAACAUACGAAAUUAGAGGAAGACACAGUUCAGCCCCAAACCACCUCCUUUCCCACAAUACUUCAAUUUCCUUUGGAAAAGAAUAAGCAUCAUCUUCCAGGAACACUUGUUCACCUCCCCAUGUUUUCUUUGUCACUUUCUGUUAGGAGGUGAGGACAAGCCGGAGGUCUUGCUGUGCCCCCAGAAGUCUACCUGAAGGUCUCAUCCAGCCACUCUGAGGAUGGAGCUAUCCACCCGGGAGCUGUUUCUCAACUUCACCAUUGUCCUGAUUACAGUCCUCCUCAUGUGGCUCCUUGUGAGGUCCUAUCAAUACUGAGAGGCCAUGCCUCACUCCUGGGACUGACUGAGAUGCUCUGGAGCUGCCUGCUGCAUACCCUGAGGUCCCACUGCUGUCACUGUCAUGGGAGGCCAUUCUGGACACCCCAAUGCACCUCUGAUCUGCACUCACAAUGCCUGACAUGCCCCAGCACUAGGAUUGAUUGUUUUCUCUAAGAUGCUGCUCUCGCAGGCUGCCAAGUGCUUGCCAGUGAGUGUUAGAUUUAUUCCCCAGCUCUUACUGCAAAUGUGUCAGACAAGCCUCAAGGUUAAAAUUAAACGGGAUUCAUGAUGAUGUAGAAUUAUAACAAGCCCCUGAUCUGUCUCACUGCACAUCCCUCCAACCCACACUGUCUGCAACCAAACUCUAAUUCAACCCUCCAGAAGAAAUGUUAGAGGAAGUCUUUGUCAAUCUCUCCAGCGAUCAUGUGAAUAAAGUUAAGUCAACCACAAAAACAGAUUUUAGAAUUUAUUUUAGUUACUAGGUGUGAUACAGCAUUUGACCCUUGGCUGGGAUUGAAGUGACAAAUGCUACAGUAUUUCUAGCAUUUGAGAUAAGCCAAGAUGCUCCAACUGCUGAGGAUUUGAAACCAAGUCAAGUUAGAGUGUCACAUUUCAAAUAAUCCCAUUGGUUCAGAGCUCCUCAAACUUUUCCCUUAACUUGUCCAAGGACAGAAGGAGAGUAAGUUUAUUCCACUAUGAGAUCUGGACCGGAACCUGAAGUGCCCACUAAAAGCACAAAAUAUCUUUGAAGUAUUAUGUUUUUUCCUUAGAAUUCACAAGAAAUGUGUAUUCUACUCUGUAGCAUCUCCACGUUUGCCUUAGUGUUUUAAAAUAUUUAGAAUUCAUUACCUAUUAUUAUUAUUAAAUAUUUAGAAUUCAAUACCCUAUUUACCACUGAGUAAAUCAAAGUCAUUUCCCUAACAGCAGCAUAUUCGGGUUUAUUGUUUGUAUACAAAGGG
RNAcentral lists this long non-coding RNA (5297 nucleotides) under Marmota monax (woodchuck). The record is from RNAcentral. Lineage: Eukaryota; Metazoa; Chordata; Mammalia; Rodentia; Sciuridae.